This 923-nucleotide ribosomal RNA is filed under the name Escherichia coli. RNAcentral's name for it is "partial 23S ribosomal RNA". It matches the Rfam family "Bacterial large subunit ribosomal RNA", at positions 294 to 1228 of the family's 2925-position model. The record is from RNAcentral. Lineage: Bacteria; Pseudomonadati; Pseudomonadota; Gammaproteobacteria; Enterobacterales; Enterobacteriaceae.
GGAGCCCAGAGCCUGAAUCAGUGUGUGUGUUAGUGGAAGCGUCUGGAAAGGCGUGCGAUACAGGGUGACAGCCCCGUACACAAAAAUGCACAUAUUGUGAGCUCGAUGAGUAGGGCGGGACACGUGGUAUCCUGUCUGAAUAUGGGGGGACCAUCCUCCAAGGCUAAAUACUCCUGACUGACCGAUAGUGAACCAGUACCGUGAGGGAAAGGCGAAAAGAACCCCGGCGAGGGGAGUGAAAAAGAACCUGAAACCGUGUACGUACAAGCAGUGGGAGCCUCUUAAUGGGGUGACUGCGUACCUUUUGUAUAAUGGGUCAGCGACUUAUAUUCUGUAGCAAGGUUAACCGAAUAGGGGAGCCGAAGGGAAACCGAGUCUUAACUGGGCGUUAAGUUGCAGGGUAUAGACCCGAAACCCGGUGAUCUAGCCAUGGGCAGGUUGAAGGUUGGGUAACACUAACUGGAGGACCGAACCGACUAAUGUUGAAAAAUUAGCGGAUGACUUGUGGCUGGGGGUGAAAGGCCAAUCAAACCGGGAGAUAGCUGGUUCUCCCCGAAAGCUAUUUAGGUAGCGCCUCGUGAAUUCAUCUCCGGGGGUAGAGCACUGUUUCGGCAAGGGGGUCAUCCCGACUUACCAACCCGAUGCAAACUGCGAAUACCGGAGAAUGUUAUCACGGGAGACACACGGCGGGUGCUAACGUCCGUCGUGAAGAGGGAAACAACCCAGACCGCCAGCUAAGGUCCCAAAGUCAUGGUUAAGUGGGAAACGAUGUGGGAAGGCCCAGACAGCCAGGAUGUUGGCUUAGAAGCAGCCAUCAUUUAAAGAAAGCGUAAUAGCUCACUGGUCGAGUCGGCCUGCGCGGAAGAUGUAACGGGGCUAAACCAUGCACCGAAGCUGCGGCAGCGACACUAUGUGUUGUUGGG